This 282-nucleotide ribosomal RNA is filed under the name uncultured bacterium. RNAcentral describes it as "partial 16S ribosomal RNA". It matches the Rfam family "Bacterial small subunit ribosomal RNA", at positions 796 to 1027 of the family's 1533-position model. The record is from RNAcentral.
CACGCCGUAAACGAUGGACACUAGGCGUCGGGGGGAGCGACCCUCCCGGUGCCGUCGCUAACGCAGUAAGUGUCCCGCCUGGGGAGUACGGCUGCAAGGCUGAAACUCAAAGGAAUUGACGGGGGCCCGCACAAGCGGUGGAGCAUGUGGUUUAAUUCGAAGCAACCCGAAGAACCUUACCUGGGCUUGACUUGCUGGUGCCCCCCCCCCCCUCCCUCUUCCCCUCUUCGGAGCCCUUAAAGAGCCCCACCGACUGCAGAACACAGGAACACGGUUUUGUGU